GAAACACUCAGCAUCUCAUGUAAAGCUGUUGGCUAUGAUUUUGGUAGCUAUGGUUUGAGUUGGGUUCGUCAACCGGCUGGAGGGCCUCUCACUUGGAUUGGACACAUCAGAACAGACACUGGGGAAACAUGAUCAUGGAGCACGCCCGAGCCAUGCCACUCACAUCAGCCUCCUCAACACAAACAUGUUUCCUGAUGCUUAUACUGGUGGUGACAUGGGUAGAUUGUGCUAUUGAACACACUCAGCCCAGCUCCAUCAUGGUAAAGCCAGGAGAGUCUCUGACAGUUACCUGCAAAGUGACUGGAGCUUCCAUUACAGAUAGCAGCUACUAUGGAACAGCCUGGAUCCGUCAGGCAGCAGGGAAACCUCUAGAGUGGAUCAACACGCUCUACUAUGAAGAAAGCAAAAAUGAAAACAAUGCCCUGAAAAACAAGUUCAGCAUCUCCAGAGACACCUCCAGCAGCACUGUAACUCUACAGGGCUAGAAUCUACAGGCUGGAGACACAGCUGUGUAUUACUGUGCCC
Alosa sapidissima (American shad) is the source of this 525-nucleotide non-coding RNA. The record is from the annotation of a RefSeq genome assembly. Lineage: Eukaryota; Metazoa; Chordata; Actinopteri; Clupeiformes; Clupeidae.